RNAcentral lists this ribosomal RNA (206 nucleotides) under Aeromonas caviae. RNAcentral describes it as "partial 16S ribosomal RNA". It matches the Rfam family "Bacterial small subunit ribosomal RNA", at positions 1 to 202 of the family's 1533-position model. Lineage: Bacteria; Pseudomonadati; Pseudomonadota; Gammaproteobacteria; Aeromonadales; Aeromonadaceae. The record is from RNAcentral.
AAAUUGAAGAGUUUGAUCAUGGCUCAGAUUGAACGCUGGCGGCAGGCCUAACACAUGCAAGUCGAGCGGCAGCGGGAAAGUAGAUUGCUACUUUUGCCGGCGAGCGGCGGACGGGUGAGUAAUGCCUGGGAAAUUGCCCAGUCGAGGGGGAUAACAGUUGGAAACGACUGCUAAUACCGCAUACGCCCUACGGGGGAAAGCAGGGG